ACAUGUGGAAACAAAAGUUAGAGCUAAAAUCCGUAAGAGGAAGGUGACAACGAAAAUCAACCAUCAUGACAAAAUCAAUGGAAAGAGGAAGACCGCCAGAAAACAGAUCUUUAAAGUUGAUGACAAGAGUUCCAGUCCUGAAUCAUGGCAAAGUGCAGUAGUGAACUGCGGGGUUAUUCUGGAAGGAUCUCUCUAUGGCUGAUGGUCUCAGUUCCGGCAUCAGCCUCUGACUGAGAAUCAGGUCUCACACAGGAGGAGUCAGAUGAGGAGCAAUCCUCUGCUUCCGAUGGAGUUAGUUGUGAUGAAUUGGUGAGGAAAAUGUUUCAACGUGCGCAAGAGUUGCGGCGGCGAGCAGAGGACUACCACAAAUGCAAAAUCCCCCCUUCUGCAAGAAAGGCUCUUUGCAACUGGGUCAGAAUGGCGGCAGCGGAG
RNAcentral lists this long non-coding RNA (432 nucleotides) under Homo sapiens (human). RNAcentral describes it as "non-protein coding lnc-NPIPB4-5:12". The record is from RNAcentral. Lineage: Eukaryota; Metazoa; Chordata; Mammalia; Primates; Hominidae.